CCUACGGGGGGCAGCAGUGGGGAAUAUUGCACAAUGGGGGAAACCCUGAUGCAGCGACGUCGCGUGAGCGAUGAAGUAUUUCGGUAUGGAAAGCUCUAUCAGCAGGGAAGAAAAUGACGGUACCUGACUAAGAAGCCCCGGCUAACUACGUGACAGCAGCCGCGGUAACACGUAGGGGGCAAGCGUUAUCCGGAUUUACUGGGUGUAAAGGGAGCGUAGACGGUCCUUCAAGCCAGAUGUGAAAGCCCUGGGCUCAACCCCGGGACUGCAGUUGAAACUGUAAGGCUAGAGUGUCGGAGAGGCAGGCGGAAUUCCUAGUGUAGCGGUGAAAUGCGUAGAUAUUAGGAGGAACACCAGUGGCGAAGGCGGCCUGCUGGACGAUGACUGACGUUGAUGCUCGAAAGCGUGGGGAGCAAACAGGAUUAGAUACCCCUGUAGUC
This 440-nucleotide ribosomal RNA is filed under the name uncultured bacterium. Its description in RNAcentral is "partial 16S ribosomal RNA". It matches the Rfam family "Bacterial small subunit ribosomal RNA", at positions 338 to 795 of the family's 1533-position model. The record is from RNAcentral.